RNAcentral lists this ribosomal RNA (478 nucleotides) under uncultured bacterium. RNAcentral's name for it is "partial 16S ribosomal RNA". It matches the Rfam family "Bacterial small subunit ribosomal RNA", at positions 28 to 523 of the family's 1533-position model. The record is from RNAcentral.
GACGAACGCUGGCGGCGUGCUUAACACAUGCGAGUCGAACGGUAAGGCCCUUCGGGGUACACGAGUGGCGAACGGGUGAGUAACACGUGGGUGAUCUGCCCUGCACUUCGGGAUAAGCCUGGGAAACUGGGUCUAAUACCGGAUAGGACCACUGCCUGCAUGGGUGGUGGUGGAAAGCUUUUGCGGGGUGGGAUGGGCCCGCGGCCUAUCAGCUUGUUGGUGGGGUGAUGGCCUACCAAGGCGGCGACGGGUAGCCGGCCUGAGAGGGUGACCGGCCACACUGGGACUGAGAUACGGCCCAGACUCCUACGGGAGGCAGCAGUGGGGAAUAUUGCACAAUGGGCGCAAGCCUGAUGCAGCGACGCCGCGUGAGGGAUGACGGCCUUCGGGUUGUAAACCUCUUUCAGCACCGACGAAGCGCAAGUGACGGUAGGUGCAGAAGAAGGACCGGCCAACUACGUGCCAGCCGCCGCCGUAA